Molecule: long non-coding RNA, 1117 nt
Filed under: Venturia canescens
Lineage: Eukaryota; Metazoa; Arthropoda; Insecta; Hymenoptera; Ichneumonidae
Description: uncharacterized LOC122409322, transcript variant X3
Source: RNAcentral
AAUCUGAGUUUAAACUCGGUUCAUCCUAUCUCGAAACUAUAUAUGAAAAAAAUUGAACUGAGUUUGAACCGCGUCGGAGAAAACGGCCAUUAUUCAUUGAAUGGAGAAAAAACGAGGGAAAUUGAUCUCUGUCAACGUCGUCAACUCGGCCGAACAAUUUUCGAUUUCUGAUUGGUAAAACGGGCAUGACUUGACAAAAAUGUAUUCGUAAUAUCCUGCGAAUCAAAAAUCCUCAAAAUUAUUAUAAAAGAUAAAACGAUCAACAAAAAACCAGUACAAUAUAUGCGAGUAGAAUGAAUUUCAACCAUAUUGGAUACAGGAGAAGGUAACUGUUUUGAACUCAAGGGAUCCAAGAAAACUGAUGUCUUUAUAAUGGAAACUUUUAGUGGGGAUGUUUUUGAAAAAUGAUCCUAAUCAAAGUACUUCAGAAUAAUAGGACCUCAUUGUCAGCUUAAUCGUUAUUCAUCCGGUGAGCCUAUUCCUGAAGGUAAUAUUCCCAAUCUUACAACUGCCAUGUGAGGGACAAUUAUUUGUAACGCUGGAUUAACCCCAGAAAUCAAGGAAAAAAUUCAGAAAAGAGUGAAAUACACGGGUGGCACAUUUAUGAAACAACUGAAGGCCUGUGCCACUCAUUUAAUAAGCGAUUCUGUCAUGUCACAAAGUACGAGGUAAUGGAAAAUAAUGACAACCUAUCGUAUUUGAUCAAUAACCUCAUGUCCAGUCCUCACAUACUCGCAGUACUCAAAGUCAAUAUCGGAAGACAGCCUAUAUUAUCUUUGAAUAAAGUAAAUUUUGAUGGUGGUGGGGGUAAUAUUGACAUGUAAUUUUCUUGAAUUAUCAUCUGUUGACAUAUUCUUCAGCACGCGUGCUAGGUGAAUAUCAAAAUUUGUUCGAUGAAAAAAUGAAUUCUGUAUGUUUUUACGUAUAUUUGUAUUUCGUUUAAAAGUCCAAUUUAUAUUUAUCAUCUAUCAAUAUUGUAAAAUUUGAGCUUCAUUCCAUUUUUUUUCGUUGAUGUUAUUUUUCUACAAAUGCGCAAAAUAUGAUAGCAUAAAUAUUAUAUAUUAAAAGAAAAAAGUCGACAAUCGAUUGUGAUAUAAAUAAAGGAAUGAUUUAAUGA